RNAcentral lists this ribosomal RNA (222 nucleotides) under uncultured Leptotrichia sp. RNAcentral describes it as "partial 16S ribosomal RNA". It matches the Rfam family "Bacterial small subunit ribosomal RNA", at positions 132 to 355 of the family's 1533-position model. Lineage: Bacteria; Fusobacteriati; Fusobacteriota; Fusobacteriia; Fusobacteriales; Leptotrichiaceae. The record is from RNAcentral.
UUUAGACUGGGAUAACAGAGGGAAACUUCUGAUAAUACUGGAUAAGUUAGUAUAUCGCAUGAUAUGCAAAUGAAAGCUACGGCACUAAAGGAGAGCUUUGCGUCCUAUUAGCUAGUUGGUAAGGUAAGAGCUUACCAAGGCGAUGAUGGGUAGCCGGCCUGAGAGGGUGGACGGCCACAAGGGGACUGAGAUACGGCCCUUACUCCUACGGGAGGCAGCAGC